Molecule: ribosomal RNA, 233 nt
Filed under: uncultured bacterium
Lineage: Bacteria
Description: partial 16S ribosomal RNA
Rfam family: Bacterial small subunit ribosomal RNA
Source: RNAcentral
GAUCCUGGCUCAGGACGAACGCUGGCGGCGUGCCUAAUACAUGCAAGUAGAACGCUGAAGGAGGAGCUUGCUUCUCUGGAUGAGUUGCGAACGGGUGAGUAACGCGUAGGUAACCUGCCUGGUAGCGGGGGAUAACUAUUGGAAACGAUAGCUAAUACCGCAUAAGAGUAGAUGUUGCAUGACAUUUGCUUAAAAGGUGCAAUUGCAUCACCUACCAGAGUCGGACCUGUCGG